This 253-nucleotide ribosomal RNA is filed under the name uncultured bacterium. RNAcentral's name for it is "partial 16S ribosomal RNA". It matches the Rfam family "Bacterial small subunit ribosomal RNA", at positions 524 to 776 of the family's 1533-position model. The record is from RNAcentral.
UACAGAGGGUGCAAGCGUUGUUCGGAAUCAUUGGGCGUAAAGGGCGUGUAGGCGGCCAGGUAGGUCUGGUGUGAAAACUCGAGGCUCAACCUCGAGAGGUCAUCGGAAACCAUCUGGCUAGAGUCCGGAAGAGGAGAGUGGAAUUCCUGGUGUAGCGGUGAAAUGCGCAGAUAUCAGGAAGAACACCCGUGGCGAAGGCGGCUCUCUGGGACGGUACUGACGCUGAGACGCGAAAGCGUGGGGAGCGAACAGG